AGUGAACGCUGGCGGUAGGCCUAACACAUGCAAGUCGAACGGCAGCACAGUAAGAGCUUGCUCUUAUGGGUGGCGAGUGGCGGACGGGUGAGGAAUACAUCGGAAUCUACUUUUUCGUGGGGGAUAACGUAGGAAAACUUACGCUAAUACCGCAUACGACCUACGGGUGAAAGCAGGGGAUCUUCGGACCUUGCGCGAUUGAAUGAGCCGAUGUCGGAUUAGCUAGUUGGCGGGGUAAAGGCCCACCAAGGCGACGAUCCGUAGCUGGUCUGAGAGGAUGAUCAGCCACACUGGAACUGAGACACGGUCCAGACUCCUACGGGAGGCAGCAGUGGGGAAUAUUGGACAAUGGGCGCAAGCCUGAUCCAGCCAUACCGCGUGGGUGAAGAAGGCCUUCGGGUUGUAAAGCCCUUUUGUUGGGAAAGAAAAGCAGCAGGUUAAUACCCCGCUGUUCUGACGGUACCCAAAGAAUAAGCACCGGCUAACUUCGUG
Molecule: ribosomal RNA, 492 nt
Filed under: uncultured bacterium
Lineage: Bacteria
Description: partial 16S ribosomal RNA
Rfam family: Bacterial small subunit ribosomal RNA
Source: RNAcentral